GUGGGGAAUAUUGGACAAUGGGCGAAAGCCUGAUCCAGCCAUGCCGCGUGUGUGAAGAAGGUCUUCGGAUUGUAAAGCACUUUAAGUUGGGAGGAAGGGCAGUAAGUUAAUACCUUGCUGUUUUGACGUUACCGACAGAAUAAGCACCGGCUAACUUCGUGCCAGCAGCCGCGGUAAUACGAAGGGUGCAAGCGUUAAUCGGAAUUACUGGGCGUAAAGCGCGCGUAGGUGGUUUUGUAAGUUGGAGGUGAAAUCCCCGGGCUCCACCUGGGAACUGCCUCCAAAACUGCAUGACUAGAGUACGGUAGAGGGUAGUGGAAUUUCCUGUGUAGCGGUGAAAUGCGUAGAUAUAGGAAGGAAAACCAGUGGCGAAGGCGACUACCUGGACUGAUACUGACACUGAGGUGCGAAAGCGUGGGGAGCAAACAGGAUUAGAAACCCGAGUAGUCC
RNAcentral lists this ribosomal RNA (450 nucleotides) under uncultured bacterium. RNAcentral's name for it is "partial 16S ribosomal RNA". It matches the Rfam family "Bacterial small subunit ribosomal RNA", at positions 354 to 796 of the family's 1533-position model. The record is from RNAcentral.